GAGGGUAUAGCUCAGUGGCAGAGUAUAUGCAUAGCAUGCAUGAGGUCCUGGGUUCAAUCCCCAGUACCUCCA
Molecule: transfer RNA, 72 nt
Organism: Camelus ferus (Wild Bactrian camel)
Lineage: Eukaryota; Metazoa; Chordata; Mammalia; Artiodactyla; Camelidae
Rfam family: tRNA
About the family: Transfer RNA (tRNA) molecules are approximately 80 nucleotides in length. Their secondary structure includes four short double-helical elements and three loops (D, anti-codon, and T loops).
Source: Rfam